UACGGAGGAUGCAAGCGUUAUCCGGAAUGAUUGGGCGUAAAGCGUCCGCAGGUGGCUGUGUAAGUCUGCUGUUAAAGAGUCUAGCUCAACUAGAUACAAGCAGUGGAAACUACACGGCUAGAGUACGUUCGGGGCAGAGGGAAUUCCUGGUGUAGCGGUGAAAUGCGUAGAGAUCAGGAAGAACAUCGGUGGCGAAGGCGCUCUGCUGGACCAUAACUGACACUCAGGGACGAAAGCUAGGGGAGCGAAUGGG
RNAcentral lists this ribosomal RNA (253 nucleotides) under uncultured bacterium. RNAcentral's name for it is "partial 16S ribosomal RNA". It matches the Rfam family "Bacterial small subunit ribosomal RNA", at positions 524 to 776 of the family's 1533-position model. The record is from RNAcentral.